This 274-nucleotide unclassified non-coding RNA is filed under the name uncultured fungus. RNAcentral describes it as "sequence contains ITS1". The record is from RNAcentral. Lineage: Eukaryota; Fungi.
UUAAAAUAUUUCAAAGGUUCAAAAUUUGUUCAGACAGAUUCCAUAAGUUUAAAAACUCGGAGGUUAUUUUAGCCUUCCGCCAGGCACGCCGUGAAUCCAGCGCCAGCAGCACCUUGGAGGAGGAGAGAGGGGGUCUCACGAACCUCCAAAACGCUCACCGGACGCCCAGCGGAAGCAACGGGAUUCGGUACACAGGGUGGGUUUUCAUACAGUACAUGCAGAUGCACGACCGGACUACACGAUAAUGAUCCUUCCGCAGGUUCACCUACGGAAA